GGAUCGAUGAUGACUAUAAAAAAAAUGGAUCUCAUCGGAAUCUGAACAAAAUGAGUGACCAAAUCAUUUCUGUGCCACUUCUGUGAGCUGAGGUCCAGCACUGGGACCAUGCCAGGCAAACAUGAGGAGGGAGUUUACAGGGACUAGGAUUGGGUGAGAUACAAUUCCAUGGAAUUUUACCACUGAACCAGUGGAGGGCUAAUUUUGUCAUUUGUACCAGUUAACUAACUUGGGAGGAAACAGAACAACACACUCCUGAGAUUGGUUUUCACAGAAUUCCAUGGACUUUAACUGCUGAACCAAUGAUGCACUGAUUUUGUCACUUGUACCAGCUAACGCAUCUGGGAGGCAACAAAACAAUACUCUCCUGAGGUUAAUGUGGACCAAAAACUAGAUUUCAUAUAAAAGAGUUUAUUCCUUCUACUUGAGGUGUGACAUGAAGGAAAGUAAUGGAAAUAAUUCUGCCCUCCCAUUCUCAAGGGCCAGGGGGAAUUCAAAUAUUGAACGGAAGUGAUUUUGGAAUUGCAUGGAAUUCUCACUGCCAUCCCAAAGAAAUGCUGAUCUUGUCACUCUUACCUGUUUCAUUCCCUGGGGGCAGAACAAAAGGACGCACUCCAAAGAUCGGCAUGAACCAAGAACUGGGUUUCAUAUAAAAUAUUUUAUUCUGUCCUCUUGAGAUGUGACAUGAGAAAAGUAUUGAGAAUACUUCUAUCACCUCAUCUUCAAGAAUCCGUAGGAAUUCUCCCAUGGUGGACUUUACGGUUAACCUGAACAGGUCUUGGAAAAAGGACUUUAAACAUUCUCCUGUUCUGUGGAAUAAGUAUACUUUUUUCUGGACAUACACCUUGUCAGUGAGUUCCAUGUGAUACUAGAGUUGCAUAGAUUUUUAACCUUUACGCCAAUGAAGAUCUGAGGCAAACAUUGCCCCUUUUUUAGAAGUUUGCAUUUGUCACUGAUAACUGUAAUAAUUGAUCUUGUUGAAAAGCCUGGGAAAUGAAGAUCUGAUAUGUCACUUUUACCGGCUUCCUCAACUGAAAAAGAAUACAAUGAAACACGCUGAGAAUUUUUGUGCUUUCUCAGUCUUGCUGAUGAUCUUUCUAUGGGCCUGAAGCGUGGAGAGUGCCAGAGAGGCUGAUCCUCAGCAGUGUGGCAGAGGAAAGUUGGGUGCGACUAAGGGGUAUGCGGUGCCCACAUGCCACUGGGUCCUCAGCAGUACCACCUGAUUGGAAGUGAUAUUGGUGGAAGACAACAUUUUGCCGCUUGGAAUUCUCACCUCCACACCAAAGAAGUACUGUUUUUGUCAUUUGCACCAGCUUCUUUCUCCAGGAAAGAUCAAAACGAUGCACUGCAAGGUUAACAUCCAAUUUUUAAUACAUGUAAUUCCCUGGAUUAUUUUUGUUGUGUUAUUAAAUAACUUAGAAUUUUUUUUACAAAGUCUGUUGAACCAAACACUGUAAGGCAUUAAUAACCUGGUGAGUUAUUUGAGGCCUUUUUUCCUCUCCUAGAAUUUUUGCACAAUUUAUAUUUUGAAUAAUAUCAGAGACAUCCUAGUAGAGUAAUGAAUUAGUACAUUUUAUAUGCAGAUACAUAGUGAAGCCUCCUUUCUUAUGCAUAUUUGACAAAUGGACAUGUAUAUUUCUCAUCUUCCCAUAUUUUUACUCCAUUUCCACAGGUCAUGUAGACCAAAAUGUGAAUGUCAUAUGAAAGAGUUUAAACAUUGCCCUUGAAAUAUGACAGAAAGUAUCAGAAAUAAUUAUACCAUUCCAUGCUCACAGGCCAGUGGGAAUUCUCACAGUAAGCAUUUUGUCCAGAGAAUAUUCUUCUUAGGGAACUAUAACAUUCCAAUGAUAAUGGUAGUCAGCCAUGUGGCUGGAUCAUCGUUCCUGUAUCCUGGUCUCUAUGACUUAGUGUGGUGAUGGUGUCAUUGUGUCCAAGUGUGACAGAAUUGUUAGUGUGUAGUGUCUGUCUCCUAUCUCAGGCUCACAGUCCCUUUUAUAAACAUGCCUGGAUUGAUGAUGGCUUCAGUAUCUUUUGGAAAUCUGGACUGAGCAAUAGAAUUGCUUCUCUCAAAUUGAUUUCAAGUCAUAUAAAAGGCCAUGUUACACAUAUAUUGUUAAUCUGAGGGAGGCUGUGAUCAUUUAAGUUGUAUUUUAUAAACACUAGGACCACCAGUAAGAAAACAAUUCAAAAAAUAUUAAAAGAACAACCAAAGAAUUAAAAUAGAAUAACCGAAAAGAUCUGUUUAACACAAAAGAAGGCAGUUAAAGAUGAACAGAGGAACCAAUAAGACAUAUAGAAAACAGAUAGGAAAAUGACAGACAUAAACCCAGCCAUAUGACAAUUAUAUUAAAUUUUUAAGAGAUUAGGAAAUUCCGUUGUUUUUUAAACAUGAGCAACUAUACGCUGUCUACAGAAGAGACACUUUAGAACAAAAGAUACAAAUAGUUGGAAAGUAAAAAGAUGGAAAAAGCUAUAUCCAGCGAAUCCAGAAGAGAGCAGAAGUGGCUAUUCUGACAUCAGAAAAAAGAGACUUUAAGAUAAAGUAUUGCUAGAGAGGAAGAAGGAUAGUAUUUAAUGAUAGAAGGGUUAAUAUGGAAUAUGUAACAAUUACAAUCAUAUCAGCACUAACAACAGUGCCCAAAACUACAUACACUGAAAUUUAACAUGAUUGAGGGGAUCAAUAGGCAAUUCAACAAUAAAAGCUUUUGUUCAUACCCUCUUCUUAAUCAGUGAUAAGUCAAUUAGAUAGAGCAUCAUUGAGGUUACAACAUACUUCAGCAAUGUUGUCAACCAAUUUGACCUGAGAUAGAUAGAUAGACAGUUAGACAGACAGACAGACAGACAGAGAAAACUUCACCCAACAACAGAAAUACAAAUUAUUUUCAAGCAUACCUGGAACAUUCUCCAGGAUAGAGUAUAUGUUAGGCUAUAAAACUGUACUCAAUAAAUUUAAGAUUGAAACCAUGUAGAGUAUGUUGUGUGACCAUAGAGGAAUUAGAAAUCAACACAGAAAUAAAUUUGGAGGUCACAAGAUAUUUGGAAAUUAACACACUUUACAGAGCCCAUUGGUCAAAAAUAUAUAUAUUAAACUAGAAAGGCCGGGGGUGGUUGCUUACACCUGUAAUUCCAGCACUUUGGGAGGCGUAGGUGGGCACAUCACUUGAGGCCAGGAGUUCAAGACCAACCUGGGCAACAUGGCAAAACCCCAUCUCUACAAAAAAAUACAAAAAAUGAGUUGAGCAUGGUGGUGCAUGCCUGUAGUCCCAGCUACUCAGGAGGCUGAGGUAGGGGAAUCACCUGAGCCCAGCAGGUAGAAGCUGCAUUGAACCAAGAUUGCACCACUGCAUACCAGCCUGGGCGACAAAGUGAGACCCUGUCUAAAAAAUAAAAGGAAUCCAGAAAACAUCUUGCAUAGAAUUUGAUACAACUAAAGACAUGCUUAGAGGGAUAUUUAUAGUUUUAAAUAACUGUAUCAGAAAAAAAGGGAAGAUAAAUAAAUGACAUAAGCUUCCACCUUAAGAAACAAGAAAAAGACUAAACUAGAAGAUGAAAUCCAAAGCAAGCAGAAAGAAGUAAACAAUAGGGAUUGGAGCAAAAAUUGAUGACAUAAAAAACCAGACAAAAUACAGAGAAAAAUCCAUGAAACCAAAAGUUGGGUUUGUGCAGAGAUUUGUGAAAUUUACAAUCCUUUAGCUAGACUGACACAGAUCAUUAGAAUUAGGAAUGAUGGAGACAACAUCACUACUGACCCUAUAGAUUGGAUCAGGAAUGUCGCUGUUUGCUGCAUUGUGCUUUCUUGAGGGGAGAGCUAUGAAGGAAAACAAAGUUCUCAUUGCACUUACAACUCAACAACACAGCGUUGACAUUUUGAUUCUCACUGGCUUCAGUGCUCAUCUCUGUGAGGUUUCCAGAAGAUCCCGUAGCAAUAUCACUCAUUCUAAAUUUAUCUUUGGGCUACUCUGGGAACGCUGUCUAUGGGUUAGCCCUGCUCUGCAAGGAGCAGUAAGAAAAUAUAUAUAUAUUUUUUGAGGCUGAGUCUCGCUCUAUCGCCCAGACGGGAGUGCAGUGGCACGAUGUUGGCUCACUGCAACCUCCACCUCCAGGGUUCAAGCGAUUCUCCUGCCUCAGCCUCCCAAGUAGCUGGGAUUACAGGCACGUGCCACCACACACCGCUAAUUUUUGUGUUUUUGUAGAGACAGGGUUUCACCAUGUGGGCCAGGCUGGUCUCAAACUCCCAACCUCAGGUGAUCUGCCCUCCUUGGCCUCCCAAAGUGCAGGGAUUACAGGCAUGAUCCACUGUGCCUGGCAAGUAUGUUUGUAGCCAGUGGGGAAUUAUUUUAACUAGGCAAUAAUUUGAUCUAUUUUGGGAAGCCUCUUGUAAUCAAAUCAUAUAUCAACAUUAAUCACAUGGUGAGUCCUCCAUGGUUUUCAUUCCUAGAGAUUCUAGGAUGUUUGACAUUUCUCUGCUUAGCUUAUAGCAGAAAGGUAUUGGAUAUCAAGAAUGUUUGAACAGUUUCUCCUUUUUGGGAAUGAAGAUGAAAUUGGGCUAGAAUGAGAUGUGUGAUUGAGAGAAUGUCCCUGAGGCCUGAGCAGUGUGUCCUUUUGGGUAUGGGCAUUGGAAGCAUGUAGUGAAUUCUUAUAAUUUUAUGUUGCCUCGGCAUCCAUCUUGAGUAUAAGUUUAACUUUGUUAUACCAGAAGCAAGGCUUACUCACUUUUGCACAGUUUCCAGUUCUACACCUCCUUCUCGUUCCUCAGUGUGAUUGGUCCAGAUAGCUGCCUUAUCCAACUGCCUCCUUUGGACCACUUCAUCAUGGGACAGCUUGAUGCAAUCUACUUGACAAGACCCUGGAACCCCACACCCCUCAUGGAACCAGUGUCCACCUCCCAGUCACAGUGUGACCCCAGGGAACUCUUGCCUGCUUGCUUUAAACCCACCACUUAAAAGUCUCCACAGAAAACCUGUUUGAAUAGUACCCUUGACCCAAUAAGGGCAUUGGCCCCUGGGUGUCUCUCUCUCUCUCUCUCUCUCUCUCUCCCUCUCUCUCCCUCUCUCUCUCUCGCUCCCUGACCUCUGCGUGUGGACUCCAGGCAUGCCAUAUACCCCUCAGGACCUGAAGCAAAAGAAUGAAUUAAAGAAAACUCCAGAGAAUGAGCUGACAACCUACUCCCUGGUCAGUGGCUCUCCAUGCCUACCUGUGGUCUCUUGGACACCCUUGCAGAAGAUGACUUCCUGGGAACUCUUCUGGGAGUGAAUGUUAUCAGCAAAUUCCCAAAACAACACCCCUUAGACAAAAAGCCUCCUCACCUAUGCAUUGCCUAGACCACCCACUAAAGGUGAUGGCCACAAAGAGGUGGAUUUGUUGAGUUGGUGCCAUUCCUUCUACUGCCAGCUUCACCAAAACAAUGACACAGUCUUCCUUCCGCAUGGAGACUCUUCUCUUUCCUGUGUUGCAGUGGAUGCCUCCUGCAGAUAAGAAAUGCUUAACUGAGAAAUGCUCAUGUUGGGAUAUCAUCGAUGAGACUUUAAUUUGGGCAUGGUGACUGUUUCCCUUGCUGCCACUUGACUCAAUCCCAGGAGCCUCAGUAGAGGAUAUAAUAUUACACAAGAUGCUCAAAAUGGUGGAAUUGCUCAGUGCUCCCAUAAAUAUACAUUUAUAAUUUUCAUUUGCCACAUGGUAAACUGAAAAAUACAGACUAUAUUAAAAAGAAACUGCAUGAUUUUUUUUCAAAAAUUCAAAGCAUAUUUAAAUAAUAUAUAAAUUAAAUGCCCUCCUCUCUUCCAAUUCUGUCCCUAUAGUUUUCCUCUAUUAAGUGAACUACAUGCAUUCUUUUAGUGGAUAGAUGCACACAAACACACAAGCCAUUAUGGGGAAGGAUCCACGUGUGUGGCCAUAUUGUAACACAUUUUUCUGCAAAUCACCUCUUUCAUUUAACAGCCCUUAUUCAAUGGCCUUUUUCUUUUUCAGUAGUACAUACACAUCUGUGUCAUUUGUUGAAUGACGACAUGAAUGUUUUGUAGAUAAAAUAUAAUUAAAUGUUUUAAGCAUUUCUCACUCAUAGAUAUUUAUGUUAGCACCAAAUUUCUGUGCAAUGAACCUCCCUAUAUAUCAGUAAUUUUGCAUUUGUCUAUAAUAUCAUAAUAAAUUACUUAUCAGUUGAAUUACUGGGAUUAAGUAUGUGCACACUUUAUAUUUAUAUUUUGAAAAUUAUUGCAAGAUUGCCUUCAAAAAUGUGGUUAACAACUUUAUCUUCAAAUGGCAAUGAAUGAGAUUGCCAGCUUUCCUACAGCCUCACAGACAAUGGAUUUUAUAAAUAUUUAACAUUUUUGCCAAUGUGAUCACCCAAACUAUUGUCUUAAAUUGUAUCUCUUUUGUUUUUGAGUUUGGUCAUUUUUUCAUGUUUAUUAGCCAUCUGUAUUUUUUAAUUUCUUCUUUAUGUCCAAUUUUGUGGGUGGGAGGAGGAUUUAGUCUCUUCCUGAUUUCGAAGAGCUCAUUUACUAUUUCGGGAAAUAAGAUUUGGAUUGUCAACCAUUAUAGCUAUUUUUUACACACUUUUCAACUUUGUUUUUGUUAUAAGAAUGUGUAUGAUUGUUACAUGUCCAAGUAUAACCAUGUUCGCUUUUAUGGCUUCUGAGUUUCAUGUCAUUUUUGGAAAGAUAUAUAUAUUGAGUCCAUAAAACCCUUCACCUAUGUUAAAUUCUAAUUCUUUUGUGUUUUUUUAAUUCAAAUUCUUAAAUCAUGAGAAAUUUUUUUGUUUUGAAAUCUUAAAGUUGCCAAGUUACUUGCCAUUACUUGCGAUUAUUUGCCAAUAAUUGCCCAUUUAUCUGUACCGCCAUCUUGCGCAUAUGCUGUACUCUCAUCUGUGACUGGCUCCAUUUUUGUUCUGUGGAUUUGUGUGUCUCUUCUUCUGCCUCCUGUCUCGUGUCUGCUCGUUGGAAGAAAUUACAGUUUAGACUGCAAUUUCAUCAACUUUAAUAAAUCAAUUGAGGGGAGAAUUGGUUUUUAAAAAUAUUAAGUAAGUCUUCGUAUCCAAGGACAAGGUAUGUCUUUUCUUAUUCAAUAAUUUUAAUUACUGUUAAUAUUUUCACUGUGGUGAUGGGAGUUUUUCUUUUAAUUUAUUUUCUUGUUCAUUUUUUGUAUCUAAAGUUUUUGUUUUGUUUUGUUUUGGGGGUAAGUUGUCACCUUACUGUUUCUUGUUGCUUUUCAGAUUUUUUCAAAGUAUAGACUAAAUCCUUCACAAAUAUUUAAAGUUUUUAUUUUCCCCCUUCAUAUUGAUCCUGAUUUUAGUUAUGUUGACAAAGUCCACAGACUGUUACUAUCAGAACACUUGAACAGUUAUGGAAAUAUUACCUACCCUUGAUUUAAUCAGAGUUUAAUGGUAUGCUUCUUUGGUUUGACUGGCACAUUGUCGCUGGUCAUUUCCUCCCAAAGACCACCAGAAAGAGCUAUGAUCAAGCAAAGCUGAGUUUGUUAAACUUACCUGCAGCAAGGGAAAACACCACCUUGAUAGGGUUUAAUAAUGUUUCAAAAUCAAGAAAUGAGGCUUUGGGGUCUGGGCAGGGAACUAAUUAGAAAUGGGCAAAAUUUGUCAUGCAAUACCUUGUGGGAAAGUGAGAUGAGGUUCUUAAUGUGAGUAUUGAUGGUGAAAUCAUUUUCUAGGUGAGCUGUUUGCCUAUAUAAAGAUGUUAUCAAUGACAGAAGAACUAUUUGCCUAGAUAAACAAACUGAAUUUAUUUAUUGGUUUACAGUUUUAUCUUGCUGGGCAGGACUCUGCUGGGGGUGGUAUCAGGUCUUAUUCCCAAUAGGUAAGUUAUUUGGAUAUGGGUGGUCUUAAUCAUCAAUGUGUAAAAUGCUGAUUUUAAGUGCGAAAUACUUUGUCUACCAUGUUAGGAAAGUCUGCCACCUUUUAUCUUUUUUAAGGAAUUUUAAUCAAAACCAGGUGGUAGAUAUAAUCAAAUUGUUUUGCAGAAUCAAUUUUCCUGUUCUCUUUAAAGACUUUUAUCACUGUGAAUUAAUUUACUAUUAUUGCAACUUCCUUUAAUUCCUUGAAUGAACAGACCCUACUGGUUUUAAAAAUGUUUUAUUCUUUUAAUUUACUACUUAAUUGUGGGUAUUUUAAUUUGAUUUGGAAUUUUUACAAGUAUACAACUAAGUGAAAUUGAUCUGUGAUUUUUCUUUUUUGUGCUAUUUUUGUCAUGUUUUGAUAUCAGAUAUUCUGGUUGUGUUAAAAUAAUUUUGAGGAUUUUCUUCUUAUACUGUGUUCUAGAGUGGGUAAAAAAGCCCUAGUCUCACUAUCAGUGUUUAAGUGAACACAUCAGUGACAUCAUCUGGACUCUCCUUUGUUUUUGCUGGUUUGGAGUUAGGACAUCUAGAAGUUUUUUUCUUUUUUUCCUUUUUUUGUAUGGUUAUUGCUUGUUCUUUGUUUUGUGUCAAAUUUAACCUGUUUUCUCUUAGCAAAUCACAGCUCAUGCAGAUUUUCAAACACAUUAGCCUUGUUAUACAAAGUGUUCUUUCAUCAUUCUAUUAAAUUUCCAUUUUCAUUCCAGUUAUAGUUAUUUCUGCUGUGCCUUUGUUAAUGAAUAAGUUUAAACAGUGGAUGUUUAGCAUCACUAGCCUUCCCCUUCCAUCUCCCUUAAUCAGGACCUUGGUAUAAUUUAUCAGGUAUUUUUUAAGGUUCUAAUUUACUUAUAUAUAUUGUUUCUGUAUUCUUUUGUUUCUUUUCUUAAUAAAUUCUUAAA
Molecule: long non-coding RNA, 8738 nt
Filed under: Homo sapiens (human)
Lineage: Eukaryota; Metazoa; Chordata; Mammalia; Primates; Hominidae
Description: small nucleolar RNA host gene 14
Rfam family: Small nucleolar RNA SNORD116 (bases 1-96)
Source: RNAcentral